This 253-nucleotide ribosomal RNA is filed under the name uncultured bacterium. Its description in RNAcentral is "partial 16S ribosomal RNA". It matches the Rfam family "Bacterial small subunit ribosomal RNA", at positions 524 to 776 of the family's 1533-position model. The record is from RNAcentral.
GACGUAGGGCGCGAGCGUUGUCCGGAUUUAUUGGGCGUAAAGAGCUCGUAGGCGGCUUGUCGCGUCGACCGUGAAACCUCACAGCUCAACUGUGAGCCUGCGGUCGAUACGGGCAGGCUAGAGUUCGGUAGGGGAGACUGGAAUUCCUGGUGUAGCGGUGAAACGCGCAGAUAUCAGGAGGAACACCGGUGGCGAAGGCGGGUCUCUGGGCCGAUACUGACGCUGAGGAGCGAAAGCGUGGGGAGCGAACAGG